This 484-nucleotide ribosomal RNA is filed under the name uncultured bacterium. RNAcentral describes it as "partial 16S ribosomal RNA". It matches the Rfam family "Bacterial small subunit ribosomal RNA", at positions 28 to 507 of the family's 1533-position model. The record is from RNAcentral.
AUUGAACGCUGGCGGCAUGCUUUACACAUGCAAGUCGAACGGCAGCGCGGGCUUCGGCCUGGCGGCGAGUGGCGAACGGGUGAGUAAUGCAUCGGAACGUGCCCAGUAGUGGGGGAUAGCCCGGCGAAAGCCGGAUUAAUACCGCAUACGACCUGAGGGUGAAAGCGGGGGACCGAAAGGCCUCGCGCUAUUUGAGCGGCCGUUGUCGGAUUAGCUAGUUGGUGGGGUAAAGGCUUACCAAGGCGACGAUCCGUAGCUGGUCUGAGAGGACGACCAGCCACACUGGGACUGAGACACGGCCCAGACUCCUACGGGAGGCAGCAGUGGGGAAUUUUGGACAAUGGGGGCAACCCUGAUCCAGCCAUGCCGCGUGCGGGAAGAAGGCCUUCGGGUUGUAAACCGCUUUUGUUCGGGAAGAAAUCCUCUGGGCUAAUACCCCGGGGGGAUGACGGUACCGGAAGAAUAAGCACCGGCUAACUACGUG